RNAcentral lists this ribosomal RNA (226 nucleotides) under uncultured bacterium. RNAcentral's name for it is "partial 16S ribosomal RNA". It matches the Rfam family "Bacterial small subunit ribosomal RNA", at positions 15 to 224 of the family's 1533-position model. The record is from RNAcentral.
GAUCAUGGCUCAGGACGAACGCUGGCGGCGUGCUUAACACAUGCAAGUCGAACGAGAAUCUACGGAUCGAGGAUUCGUCCAAGUGAAGUAGAGGACAGUGGCGGACGGGUGAGUAACGCGUGAGGAACCUGCCUUUCAGAUGGGGACAACAGUUGGAAACGACUGCUAAUACCGCAUGACACAUUGGGGUCGCAUGGCUCUGAUGUCAAAGAUUUAUCGCUGAAAG